UCCAACUUUGCAGGCUUUGUGAAGACUUGUGUCCUACCAUAACACACACUAAUUGAACCCUGUGGUCUGCAUGCAGUUCCCGGGUUGUGCAAAAACAGACCAUGGACUGGAUUUGGCCACAGCUGUGGUCUGUCACCCCUUCUCUGAAGUAUCUGAGUACACGGGCCUCUCACUGUGUGGCCUCUCCCGUUGCAGAGCACAGGCUCCGGACGCGCAGGCUCAGCGGCCAUGGCUCACGGGCCCAGCCGCUCUGCAGCAUGUGGGAUCUUCCCGGACCGGGGCACGAACCCAUGUCCCCUGCACUGGCAGGCGGACUCUCAACCACUGCGCCACCAGGGAAGCCCGAUCUCAAAAAUUUUUAAAGAAAUUUAAGUUGAGCAUUAACAACUGCUGUAAGACAAUUUAUAAACUGAGACAGGAGCCAGUUAGGGAAGAAUAAGCCAUGAUAUUAUGGCUACACUCUUCUCAAACAUCA
This is a long non-coding RNA of Orcinus orca (killer whale), 475 nucleotides long. RefSeq lists it as uncharacterized. The record is from RefSeq and is a predicted model, not a curated record. NCBI's taxonomy places the organism in Eukaryota, Metazoa, Chordata, Mammalia, Artiodactyla, Delphinidae. The transcript is spliced from 3 exons.